GGAGUAGCUACGGUAGCUCUUAGAAACAUUGUGGGAGACCAGACAGAGUCGGGCGUAAAGUCUAGAAUGAGAAGUAUGAUCGAUGUUAAAUAUUGAGGUAUUUUGAAACGGAAGAUUUACUUCAGUAACUAUCAGCUUGUAUUUGGGUUUUAAAUUACAGCAAGUCAGUGCAGGCCUCUGCUCUUGCUCCAAAUUAGGCAACACUGUCAAAAUAUUUUAUCAAAGAAACUUUACAAAAGGAGAAGAACUGCUUUAUGAAUAUGUAUCGGUAGUGCACAGUGAACAGAGGGAGAUGUUUUAAGUCUCGUUGCUUCUUUUCUUUCUGCGCAGCUCGGCUUACAAAAAAAAAGCUCUUUCAUGGUUAUGUGAACCCAUCUUUACAGUGAUAAAUGUGCCACAACAGCAAGCCUGUGGACGACAGAGUUGUACAGAGUGAUGACGAGACAGAGAAUAAAUAUAGGUAACAGGGGUAGCGGCGCAACAUGCACCGUGGCUUCUCUUCAUCUGCCUGCGAUUCAGCAGCUUAAGUCCUCGGAUAUGAGUGUUGGUGAACUGGGUGUUAACAGACUACUCCAUGACGGAGGGGGGAGGGAGUCAGCAGAAAGUCUGAAUGACUGUGAGCAAAUGCACCCACAUCUGUUUUAUACAUGCAUAUGUGAUGCCUGCACCUGCCACACCAAACCGUUUGGUGUGCAAAAACUACGAGCAAUUAAUUUUUGCACACGCAGCAAAUAGGCUGGUGAUGAAUAUACGAUAGUGGCAUGACUCAACAGGUGAAAUAGGCACGCCCAUAACCCUAGCAUAGGCCUCAUCUUACCGGCGGUGGCACAGACCCAGAUCUUUCUCUAACAGAGGUUGGCAUUAUAGGGCGUGGGCCGACAGCGCUCCAACGCCAGAAGAACCACUCAAAUCCAGAGCAAACACUGCAGACAAAAGGGAGACAGGGAGAAAAAACUGGAGCAGGCCUUCUCUUUGUGGAUGCCUGCAGCACUGCCAUAGCCAGAGCUUGUGACACUGGCUAUGGUUGGACUACACAGAGAUUAAUAUAAUCUAUCACAUAUCUCUCACGGUCAUUUCUUACUUGAAAGAGUAAAGCAGACCUAUUAUGGUCUUUUCCAGCUUUACAUUUUAUAUUCUUGCACUUCACUGAAGUACAGUACAGGGACAGUGUACACAUAGUUUCUGAUUGCAUAAAAUUAAUGUCGUCUAUGCUAAGCAUUUUCCUCUAAUAAACAUAAAAAUGUUCUUUUCUUAGAGGAAUUGUUCAGGAUUUGUUAGAAAACCACCUAAAAGGGGACCUUUACUCAUUUCUAAGUACAUUUUUCUAUGUGGGAGUCUACUAGAGUAGCUUUGCAAGAUUCACAGUUCAAAAUAAUCCUUAUUUAUGUUUUACUGGGCCUCUGUGCAGCCUCUCCGUCACUCUGACUGAAAUAAGCCAUUUUAGUGUACUUCCCCCUGUUCUUUAAGCCAGAUGUUCCGAAACUUUUUCUGGCACGCCCCAUUUCAGAAGGCAAAAAAAUGUUCACACCCCACACUCAAUCAUUAACAGUGCAAAAAAGGAUUCAAGCUGACUUUUACUUAAAGGUCAGGAGAUUAACAUAAGCAAACCCUUUAUUUUCUUUAAAAUAACCCUUAUUUUAACCCAUAUUUUUCACCUGGUUGUCCCACCUGCAGUGAUUCUACACCCCACCAUUUGAGAACCACUGGUUUAAGCCAGCUUUCUUCUGAUUGGCUUCUGCUCGCAAACAAAAAGUCUGAACAGCAGGUGAGUUUUUAGCUGCCUUUUAAAAGAUACCACAAUGUUCACAGAUUUCAGGCUCAGAGGGAGAGAUUUCCACAGUCUGGGAGCCACUGUCGGCAAAACCUUUGUUGCCUUUAGUUCUCAGUCUUGUAUGCUGCAUUGUUAUCAGGCCCUUUUCACAUGACCUCAGGGACCUGCUGGGGAUGUAUGGGUAUAAAAGUCCACUGAUGUACACCAGUCCUUGUCCUUGUCAACUUAAGUGAUUAAAAACAAGAGCAAGCCAGAGAUUUAACGUGAGCACCAAAGUGAAAGGGGAGUCAAAAGUUACUCAAACAUUCCUGAUAGAAAACUUGGCAAAAGUGGCAAGGCGACGUUUCCAUAACCUUAGGCACAAAUCUCUUAGAGGCACAAACAGGGACUUCUGUUUUCUCUUCAUUAAGUUGGCAAAAAUUGUCAGCUUAACAACUUUUAAUAGAAUCUAUUCGCAUAAGCGUGAUGUGCAACAGAAAUAUCUCGGGGCUUAAAAUAGAUAUAUAACUGAAUGUCAUCUGCAUAGCCAUGGUAAGAAAUGUCCUUUAAAGUGCUCAAAAUGUGUUGAAGAACGAACAGAUAUAAGAGAAACAGUAAGGGCCCUAAAAGAGAACGCCGAUAGAGACCGACCAGUAUCUCAGCCUAUCACAAAUAACGUGAUUGUCAGCAGUGGCGAUGGCAGAGGCCAGAACAACAUCAGCAAAACAGAACAUUUCCUUGAAUCACUUUGGAUCGAGAGGUUGUUUGAGACUCUAGGAAGAGCUGUUUUGAUGGAAUGAGGUCUAUGAAAGCCAGACUGAAAUCUAUCAAGAAGGUGUUUUUUUUUUGUCCAAACCACUUAGCUAUGACAUUCUGCAAAAUUUUAGCAAUAAAAGGUAAUUUUAAGAUUAGUCUGUAACUACUGAGAAGAGAGGCGACAAGCUGUUUUUCUGUUUUUAAUGGGUGGAUGAUAGCGCUCUGGUCUUGAUUAAAGAAAGCAAACUUUGACUGAUAAGACUGAAAGACAGUUUUCAACAGAGAUACAUGUAAAAUUUUGUGAUAGCAGGAGGAUGUUUUUAUUGAAUCAACUAAUUUGACCAGUUCACAAAAAGAAACGUAAAAAGGGCUGGGGUAGGAACAGGCAGCGAAGAUGCUGAAGAAAAAAUAUUAUUUCUCACACUACUCAUUUUUCUACAAAGAAAGUAAGAACAUAUUCACGAUGUUCACUGGGAAAAAUUGGGACAACGGGUCAAACACAAGUAACAAUUUCACUAAUUGUGUCAGAUAACACCCUAACACCCGCCUCUGCUCUUUGAAACCAGGUUUUAAGACAGCACAAAAGUUUUGGUACCGGACCCUUUUUGGUUGACUUGUGAUGUUUGAGUGGGCUUCAGAGGUCAGCAAGCUGUGUAGGGGGAAGCAAAACGGGGAACACACUAAUUUUGAACCUGUCAUCUGCUGCCUGACAACAGUUUCUCUUUUUAAAAAUGCAUCUGCUUUCAUGACCAGUGAUUGGCACAAUGAACAGGAACUCUUGGCCUGCAAUCCGCCGGGUAUACCGGAGGCCCCGAAACAUCAGCUGUCCACUAAUCCAGUUUAAAUCAUUUGAAUACUGUUAACUCUGAGACCCACACGAAAUAUCCCUCUGUGAAUGUACAUGUAAAAAGUAUUACAGUCACACAUCAAAUUGGCAGCUACUUUUAAUGCAUAGCAUGGAAAUGUUUCAUGGUUAUGCUGGUACUACAGUGACCUCCUGUUGGCACCAAUGAUUGCUUUUUAUUAGAUGGAGCCACAUAUGUUUCCCAGUGACUGAUUUACACAUUAUUACUGUCUCUACUAGCUAAGACAUUCCUUACGUUUUAAGUGGUGGAAGUAAAUCACUGGCUCGAUUUAUGAAUAGCUUCUAUGACUCAGUUCUCAGUGACUGAGUGAUGUGAAAGAUCCACUUAUGAAUUCCAGCAUCGAUAAAUAAACUCUUGAAGAAAUACAUUUCAAUUGCCACUUUUUGAAGAGAUCUGGAAACGGCAUGCUGCAGCGGUAAAUGAAACAAACAAACAAAAAAAAAAAACCAAGGCUUUGCUGCACACAGCAGUCAGAUCAUGCUGUAGGAAGACAGAAAGGUCAAAAUAAACGCUGCACAUGCCUCCCAGGCUUUAGCGAUAAGAGAAAUAAGAGAAGGAGGUGUGUCUUUUGUACACAUAGCCAUAUGAGAUCUUUAGACUCGCUGCGUUAUAACUGUAAACACAAAUGUGGCACACAAAUGCACCCGGCCGUGUUAUUCCCUUCUGUUAGUCUUCUAUAGGGUAUGCUUAACUGCUUGCAGGUACUGAGCCAUGACUUCAAUCAGCAGCCGUGCUUCAUCGUCAGCUGUUUAUCUUUGUCGUUAUGUUUGAAUAUGCAAGUGCAGAUACAGUGCCGAUGUUUGUGCUGUAGUAUGCAGAGGAAUGCAGUGCUCGUAGCUGAGAGGUGCUUUGGUGCCUGAGCUGAGUUCAAGUUCAGCUUCCUUUCCUUUUCUCUUGUCUUCUCUCUGUUUUACCCACCACAGUCCGGGGGCACAUCAGGUUCCAGUUGUUUUCUGGCUAUUCGGGGUCAGCGAUGCACGUUGGCAGACCUCAUUGGCACUUUCUCGUUGCAGUGCAAAAAUCUGUUGGAGACUGAACUCGGCUCAGCGUUUGUGUGCCCCGGUGUUGAGUAACAAUGAGCUCCGCAGGGCGAUUGGCAGAUGUCUGUUUGGUGCUGCAGAUACAGUCAUGCCAUUGUGUGGAGUCAGCAAGUAAAAUGUGUGUGUUCGUGUGCGUAUGUGGAUAAGGGGUGAAGAAAAGCGGCUGUUUGUUUUGGCAGGAAGAUCAUUUGCCAAAGAAGUGGCUCCGCAGCCAAUUCUCACCAAACAAACCCGCAGCAGUGAGUGUUUUAUCAGUCCAAGCACUUCAGCAGGCGAAAUGAGAAGGUGGCCAUUUUACUCCUCGCACUCCUUGCUGCUCUUCACAGCUAAGAGGGUUAAUGGUGAGCUGCCGCUCGGCCACUUUUAGCGCGGCGUUCCGUUAAAUUCAAAAGCUUGCGUUCCCUAAAACUUUCCUGUAACAUUUGUUGUUAACGAGAAAAUGAAAUGAACAGUUCCAGCUAAUCAGCAGCAUGACAAAGCCUUAUGGUUUCUCUGAUCUUUUCUCCUACUUGCUGUGACUCACUUGAAGCCCCAUUGUCUGCUCCGAGCCAAGAUCCUCCAGUCCAGAGGGCGUCGGUGCCAAGCCUGGCUCUGAGGAUAUUACAAAAAGGGAAAACCCAUCUUCCCCCAAAACCUUCUUCCAUUACAGAAAAGAGGUUUUCCGCUUCUAUCGAAACUGUCAGUGGAAGUUUUUCAAGCCACUUGGAAAACAUCAAUUGCUGCUUUUUCAGUCUUUAUGUUGGCAAAAUCAUCAGUCACAGGAGCAGCAUGAUCCUUUCAUAGUAGUUUUUCUGAAGAAAAGGCAGAUUGUGCAUGUGUUUUUAUGUCCUUUAUGCUCUCUUUUGUUGUAUGCUUGUGUUGUUGAGCUGCACAGCUGACAGGUCUGUGAAAUAUCAGCACCUGCAUUGUUUUUCCUCACAGUAACCUUUGCAACUGAUGUGGACAUGAAUAUGCCGCCUGUGUGUGGAGCACAUCUUUUUAGUUUUAAACGACGAGCUGUUUCAUGUUGGCGCAGGAGUAAUAGGAGCCACGGCGUGACAGCCAGGCCUGAGGCGACCCAGAAAUGUGCCUUCUUGGAACUUCCUUCUCAUUCCUUGGGCAUAAGAACAGCGGUGCAGUGCAGGAUUGACUCCAAAACCAACAGUUUUGGAAAUAUCUGUUACAUUUGCAUCCCAAAUAUUCAGAAGAGCUUGCAUGAUGUUCUUAUUUGGGUUGACAGGGUUUCAUUUUUCAUCCUUCAUGCCUCUUGUGUUUUCUUGUCGUACUUGGCUGUUUUUGUGUUGACUUAUCUCGUUGACACACAGGAUGGGUAAUUUUGGGCAGCGUAGAUGUCUGACUGCAAACAACAUGUACAACUUACAGUACGCGCAGGAACGGCGUAAACAUGGUUUCUGAUCGAGGCAAAUUCCUGUGGUCAUGUCGCCACUUUUAAUGUUGACUUUUUUCUCCAAUACACCUUCUUCUUCUUCUUUCAUCGCUAUGUGGAAAAAACACUUAAAGAGAACCUAUUAUGCUCAUUUCCAACACUUAUUUUUAUUCUUGGACUCUACUAGAGUACCCCUGCAUGAUUCAGAGUUCAAAAUAAUCCCUUGUUUUAAUACUGGGGCUUGGUUUAGGCUCUCAGUUCAACUAGUGGAAUAAGCUGUUUUAGCUCCCUUUACGUUAACUUUCUGCUGAUUGGUAGCCCCUCACAAGCAAAUGAUUUGGACGGCGGAUGGGUGGGGCUUCGGUGUUCACAGCCAGAGCUGUGUUUUUCAUAUGACCAGGACAUCCAAAUUUAUUCACAUUAUAAAGAGCGAUGACUAGAAAGUAACCUGCCUGAAACUGAGUGUUUGGAGCAGUCUGAAGCCUGAGCUUGUGGCUCAUUGGCUCAUCACUCUAACAUUAUAUAAUAUUAAAGAAAAGAAGAGUAUCACGCACCUCUUUAAUUGCUAUCUUAACAUAAAUUUAAUGUUGUCUGCAAACUUCUUUGACAGAAAAGUCUAAUAUGUUCGAGUAAAUGAAACGAUAGACGGUUAAACCAGAACUUUCCUUUUACACUGACUCACAUCUCCUUGUGAGGGACCAAAAAUCUGUGGGCAUCCUCUUUGUGGGAUCAUCCUCAAUGUAAAAAUAGGAAAGAAGCUAUGCUGUCUCUGUUAUAAGUUAAUCAAAAUUCCACCUAUAAGCACCUCAUAUAAGUGAUAAAAGACUGGUUUGUUAGUUUCAAAGGGCUAAUGUGUGAUUUCUUGGCAACGUCAAGUCUUCUUAUGAUCGUGCAGUUUCUAGCAAGGUAUGAGUCCGACACAAAAUACCUUUGUUUACCUAAUCCUUUCUGUACAGCUGUAAUUGAUGGAGAUAAAACGAGCUAAUUACUGAGCUGACAGGCCGAGUCAUAUUAGCCACGUUCGCGUUUCCAAUCUUUAUGCAAAGAGACUUUAACCAUUAGGGUGUGUGCCGGCAGGAUCUGAAAACCACUCAAAUCUAGAGCAAACACUGCAAACAAAAGUGUCGAGGCGAUCAAAAGCGGAGCAGGCAUUUCUUGUGCGCCCCUCUUUAAAAGAAAAAAAUAAAUAGAGAGACAGAACCUUCUUGACCUGCUUUCAGCCAAUCAGCCCUUGACAACAGGCUCAACCUGAGCAAACAGUGAGUAAGUAAUCAGCGUUCACAUAACCCUGAUAGUAACUAUCUCCUCAGAGUUAUACAUCAGCUGGUAUUGAUUAAUGUGAUGAUGUCGUUGCUGUCCAGUACCGUGGUGUACAGCUGACUGCACUGGUGUUUUCCAGCUUUUUAAACUUUGCUUGUAACUUAUGUGCAUAUGUGCUUAAUUAGCAGUUUUCCUCCUCAGUUAUUAAUUAUAUCUAUAACAUGUAAGAAAACUGCAAUUUCCCAGCUGAAUAUAUAUUUGAGCACCUAGUCGGUUUACUAUCAAGUAAUACUGCAAAAAAAAAGAAGAAAAAUCAUCAAAUUCUGGCAUUUUACAAGUGUGCACUGGCAGUAUUUUCACAUUUUUGCUUUCAAAAUGAUUGCAGAGAUAAUUGCAUUAACACAGACAAGUCUGAUUAAUUUUCCGUCGAUCUACUAACCGAUCAAUCACCUAAUCAUUGCAUCCCUAAACUGAAUUAAAACAGGUUGCGUCACAGCUCCUGGCUCCAGCUGCGCGCUUACCCUACAGACACAGGAAUGGUAUCAAUCUUCUCAUCUAACUCUUGGCCAGAAAGAAAGUACGCGUGCUUCUCAAAAAUGCCGAGCUAUUUCUUUGAAAGCUCAGGGUGCUCAAAACAAACAAGUUGAUUCAAACACGCGUGCACCAAUGCAUAUAAUGAAUAUAAAUGGAGGACUUGAGAGAUACAGUAUAUGCUCAUCGCCAACAAUUCUCAGUUUCCUUUUCCCACCACCUACAUUUGGAAAGGUGUGUACGCCUGUAUGGCUCCAUUAAAAGGUAUCGGUUUUAAUCAUACUUAAAAGUGAUUACGUGGAGCUACAGCACAGUGAGCCUGUUCUUAUUUGGAAAUAUUGACACAACAAUGAAUCACACACUCAUAUCCUCUCAGUUUUCUCACGUCUGCUGACAUUUCAAACUGUGCGAAUAAUUGCCAAAUUGUCUCGGGCUGUAUUAAGCCAGGGGAGGAUACAAAUGCCUUUAAGCAACAUCAGCUGAGGAGAUGUAGAGGCCGGAAUAAAUGCAACACUGCUUAUCCUGCCAACAAAGCUUUAGAAACAGUUACACUUGUUUCAUAAAUCAACUUGUUAAAAAGCACAUGCACAUAACAGAAUAAGCACUCCCAUUUUCCUGAAGGCUGUACGGGAGGAUGGUGGUGGAAGGGGGGUGGGUCAGGAGGUGAUGGAGUUUGUAGGAUAAACUUGGCUAAACUUUGUCAGUGCACGAAAUUCCCCUCAUCAGACUCAAGCCUGCCAUCCUCCCCUCUCUACCCAUCCAUAUCCAACAGUGCGCAAAGCUAACAAAGCCAGUAUUUAAAAAGCUAUUAAAGAACUACACAACUUCUUUCAUAAUUUAAAAUGUCAAAAGCUUGAAUAAGCAUCCCGUUUAUACAAUGAGCAAUCCCUCCAGGAAUAAUUCUCACAAUUUCAGCCACUCUUCACAUCAUUUGUGCGAGUUUGCAGUUUUGUCUGCAGGGUCCUUGCAGAUUUUAUCAGCUACUGCAUCUCAAAUACAAAUAAUCCAAUUCAGAAUCACCGCUAUAAGCUGAGCUCAAACUAAAACGGAAGGUAAAUUCAUGCCUAAGGGUCUUGCUGUCUGUUGGAUUUUGGAAAUCUAAGUCAUGCAUCAAUUUCAGCAAACGCUAACAUUUAAAUCUUUAGAUUAUUUGUAACUUCUAAAUUAAACGGGGACCUAUUUAGGAGACUUCCUCGCUUUCUAUCAGAUAUAUGCACUCACAAGACACUUCAUUAGUUAUACUUUGCUACUAGUGGGUUGGAGCCCGUUUUGCCUUCAGAACUGCUUUAAUUCUUCACGCUUCAGAUUCAACAAGCUGCUGGAAACAUUCCUCAGAGAUUUUGGUUCAUAUUGACUUGAUAGAAUCACACACUUGCUGCAGAUUUGUUGACUGUACAUCCGAGAGGUGCACUAUUGGAUUGAGAUCUGGUGAUUGUGGAGGCAAUUUGAGGAUAGGGAACUCAUUUAAAAAAAUAGCCUGAGAUGAUUUGAGCUUUGUGAUAUGGUGUGCUAUCCUGCUGGAAGCAGCCAGAAGAAGAUGGGUACACUAUGGUCAGAAACAGUACUCAGGUAGACUGUGGUGUUUAAAAAAUGCUCAGCUGGUACUUGAGGGGCCCAAAAUAUGAAAAUAUCUGCCACACUGAUACACCACCACCACCAGGCUGAAGUGUUGAUACGAGGCAGGAUGAAUCCACGCUUUCAUGUUGUUUGCACCAAAUGCUGACCUUACCUUCCAAAUAAAGACUCAUCAGACCAGGCAACAUUUUUCCAAUUUUCCGUUGUCCAAUUGUGGUGAGCCUGUGCAAACUGUAACCCAAGUUUCCUGUUCUAACCUGACAGCUAAGCAGUGGAAAAGUUAGCAUGACUCCUAUUUGACCAACAGUUUUUCUAAAACAGGUCAUUGUGAGUUGCACUCCAUUCAUGUUUUGGAAUAAAUAAAGCAUAAUGUUAUUAAUGAAACAGAUUACACCGUAUUUUGCUAGCACAGUGAUCAGGGACUAUGACUUUCCAUCGCCACAACUGACAGAACCAACAUCAUCCUUCUGUUGGCUCACUUGUGUGUGUGCGCUCCAAAAUGUUGUGUGUUACAUUCAUAAAACUACGAGAGAGAAUGCAAAAAGAAACAAAACAAAAAAAAACAAAAACUGGGCAUACUGCAGUCUUUUUGACAGGAUGCUGUCUGACGUCCAAAAUAUUGUGACGUCUGCCUGGGUGGCCAUUAUUCAGCUGACAUAAUGUUGUCUGAUUGUCUCAGAAACACCAGCUGAAAUGUUUUAAUAGUAUUUAUACUCUUCCCCCUGCUGUAGCUUUUGUUAAAUCACUGUAAAAUAACAAGAAAUAAAAGGUCAGACUUUGCACAACUUUCAAGUGAUCUUGGCAGGAUCCUUGUGGGACUAAAUAUGGUAUGUGGGAAAAUCACAGUUUUAAAAUGUGAUAAAGCUUAAAUCUUCAUUGUGUUUUCAGUUUCCUUCUGAGGUUCUCUUGUCAGUCUUGUCAUAUAGUCAGAUUAGUAAUGAAGCUUUGGGCACAUUCUUUGUUGGCAAAAUAGCAGCACUUAAAGAGCAGACCACAUUUCCAGUGUUGAUGCCGUUUCACAGAGUUAUGAUCUCAGAUCACACACAUGAGAAUGUAUAUUAGUCUUUUGCUCAGGGACAUUUUCAUACUAAGCCACACACAGACUCCGGUAGUGUCUUCAGAAAUGCUGAUAUAGUUAAUUUUGACAGGUAAUGCACAAUGAUCCCUGAAAAAUCCUAACUAAAACAGUCAUUCAUUAAGGUUUUGGAAUUGUGAUCCGGUUGUAUGGCAGUUUUUCCACCCAGUCUCAUGCUGGAGGGAAUUAGGUAGGUAAACAUUAAAAUUUGGAAGUUGGCUCGAAAACUAGAAGCCAAGAAUUGUUUACUCUGUUACAUUAGGAGGACUCAUUUGGGAAGACUUUGCUAGGGAAACGCAACGCCCCUGCAGAUAUUUUACCUUUAUUGUCAUUUUGACAAACAUUUCAGUCUUAGUUUGGUGAAAACCAGUGGGACCUGCAUUAAAAACCUCUAGCUGGCCUUGACCAAAUUUUGUUCUUUUCUAAUGGCUCCCACAGCGUUGAAUUCGGGCUCAGACAGACAUGUUGUGUGUUAGGCAUCAAGAUAAUUAACUGGUCACAGUCGGGUUUUCCUGGAAAUUGACUGUAUUAGUGAGUCUCUUCUCUUAUUCUCGCCUCUUUCCUUUCAUUUUUUUCCCCCGCUUGGCAACUGUCACACAGAAGGCUUUGAAGUGGGUGUAAAUAAGAAGACAUGCAUGCUUAAUGAGCACGAGUAAAAAAGGCUUAAUACUUGUUUUAGCGAUGUAGCUCUGCUUACCGAACUGAACAUCGAGGCAGCGUGACUGCUUAAUUAAGCUGUCUGUUAACACAAAGAGGCCAACAGUGACAUUUGCUGUGGUGACGGUCACAUCAUAUCUGAUUAACUUCAAGUUGUCGUUUGAAAAAGUCCAAAACAUCUGCAACUAAACACUUAUUUUCACCUCCCGAUCUCACUUGUAAAACUAAAUAUCCUACUGUGACUUGCCAAGCAGAUGUAAUGAGCCGAGAUCAAAUACUGAAAGUCAUUCACAGACGCUGAUAUGUGAAAGGGCCAGAGAGCGAAAAGGAGAAAGGAAAAAACAAGAAGUGAGGAAUGGUCUUCUGCUUUCAGAUUUACAGCCGCGGGGUCACCAGUAGAGUCGGAGCUGGAGCAGAGUGGUGCAGAACUCUCCUCCUCCUCCUUCCCUGCCUCCCUCCCUCCUGGCCUCCUUAGCCUUCUAUGCUCACACCCAAUUUUUUUGGCUCUUUGUUACUGUAUAUAGGUCAUACUGUGAUCGUGUGUAUAUACAGGUGAAUUUAUUCUCCUUCCCAGCAAGCAUAUGGAAAGAGGUACUCAAAACAUUUCCUAGAAGUAACCGAACAGAAGAACAAUGCUGCAUUUGAAGCAAAGGUCAUGCCUUCAUGUGUUUUAGAGAAGAACUCAUUCUGAACAAAUCCUCACUGUAAAAAAUCAAAAUAAUGCAUUCAUUGUGUCAUGUAUAGAUUUUUAUUUUAGUGUUUACAUUAAAGUAAAACGUGUUUUAUGAGCUAGUUUUAUGUUUUUGUAUGCAAAACUCUUUAUUUUAACUUCUCGCUACACACCCACAGCACUAGGAAAAUUUCUAGAAUUUUAACGCAUCUGUGUGCAUGCAUGCAUGCGAGUGUCAACUCGGCUAAGCUCAGCUAUGCUGUCAUCAUUUAAAGAAUUUAUACAGUACAUUUAAGGAAUUAUCCCAAGCGGUGCAUGUCUUUUAUUUGCAGAGAAAGAGCGACGGUUAUAAAACAAUAUUACAUUUUUUCCAUGUCUUUGUUCUUGGCACAACAAACAGCAACGCUGCAGCGAGUCAAUUUUAUCAUCACAAAUAUGUGAUAAGAAUAAUAUGAGCAAUAGCACUUAUUUUUUAAAAAGAUUAAACAGGACAGUUUUCCAUCGCUUCUCACAGCCUCUGUAACAAAAUGUAAUGCUUGAGCGUGCGUGUGAAUAAAAGUGCGUUUGCCCCCACUAGCUUACCUGAGCUCCCCGUGAAAAGCGAACACAAUCUGAGCCUGAGCAGAAAGGCAGGAUGUUUUUGAUGAAGCAGUGGGCUUAAUUUAGGCCCAGGCAUUCUCAGUAUCUGUCACCUAACUCCCAGUGAUCUCAACACACAGUGCAGUUGUGUGCAUGUGUGUGUGUUGGUUUAUGUUUAUCCACAGAGGCAGGCUAUAAAUUCAAGAAAUGUACACCAACAUUCAGCCCCCCUAAAAACUGUAAUACCUCCCAAAUAUAAAGACAACGUCAUACCCAUUCCCCGUUUUAUUUUGCUAGUAAUAAUGGAGCAAAUAAAAACCGCAGCUUAACAACAGACACUACUAUGAUAGUGUCUCUCUGAUAGGAUUUUAUUAUGAAUUAUUAAUACUGGCUAUUAAAAAAUAAUCCCAUUAACUCUGCCAAAUGCCCCAAAAUCUUGAUUUCUUCUUCUAAAGAAGCUGGCUUGGUUAUAGCUCCUGCUUGGCCAUUAAGUAACCAAACAGGCGUAGGCAUUGCCAGCAAACCAGCAAAAGCAAAAAGCGAGUGCCAGCAACCUCUGCCAAAGACUUCAGCUUGCACCCAGUGUUCUUCUCUUACUGGUACACAGAAAAAUGAUCUGCCUACUUCUUUGAAUUGUACAUUUUUCUAUCCCUGUAUGGAUUUUUAAAAAAAUGAAAAAAUAUUUUAAGAAUGAAAACCUUUUGUUGCAAAGCAGAAAUAUUUAAGAGAAAUUAAAAGAUGAAUGUCUAUAUGUAGAUUCUUGCUUUUUGAGCACGUACGUUUGCUGAUAUGAGCAUGUGCAUUUGCUCCUUCUUGGCCAUUAAGUAACCAAGCAGGCAUAGGCAAAACUAAAAGCCGAGCUCCUACAAACUCUGCCAGUGACUUUGUUUUGCACAGAGUGUUCUUCUCUUUGCUGGUACAUAAAUAAAUUUUCUACCCUUUGAAUUUAAGACUUUUUCCAGUCUGCAUGGAAAAUGUUUUUAUUCAUAAUACUGACAAACCUCUGUUUUUAAGCAGCUGCAUAAAGUAAUUAUAUGGAUCUCCAUUUUCUAGCCCUCUCUGCAUUGUUGCUGGAUGAGCAUGUACAUUUUUGAAAAUCACGCAAGAGGACCUUGCGACGUCUGACCUCGAGCUUGGCGUCACUUUAAUGCUGCAUUAAACGAACGUGCUCCAACUCGUCAAACGACUGCAUGGAGAGCUAGGAGGAGAUCUCUGUGGUCGUCAUGCAUCCAUAACGAUUGGAAAGACAGGAAGACCACACAGCAGCAUGGUCAGAUCAGGUUGUCAGAAACCAUAUUUAAAAUCUGGGUCAGGGUCCAGGCCGUAACCUCGCUCUCACUAUGGCUCCGCUCUCCCUCCUCUGUACCCGAUUCCACCUUCGUCCCACGACUCUAUCUUUGUGUUUUCUCCCUCUUUUGGUUGAAUCACUUCACCCACUUUCCACAUCCACGUCUUUAUGCAUUUCAUUCCCUGACUCAACCUUAAUACUCGGCCCGAGCAAUCCAGGCAGGCAGGCAGCUUUGCCGUCUGCUUGUGCUGAGCUACAUGGCAUCUUAAGAUCAUAUUAAUUUCAUUGUGAAUUUAUGAGAAUGAACGAUGUAUUUAAAUACAAUAAUCCAAAAAUCUAAAUGUGUGAAUUGUUGAGAUAAUAGUGAAACUACUGCUCCACUCCCAUGAGAAAUUAUAGAAAAUUCAAGGUGGGUUUAAGGCACAGCCUUAUAAUCCAAAUGCAAGUUCAGGGGUAUGUAGAGCUAUUAUUGUUGUUAGAAAAUAAAUCUGUCCACUUGUUAAAUGAUGACGUCGUGGCCCUUGAUUAAUAGUUUUGCAUUCAAGCCUCUAUUUAAUUUGUAAAACUGAAUUUAUCUGAAGUCACUAUAUAUUAUAUAGUAUUGUUAUAAUACAAUAAGUUAGUGAGAAAACCCCAAUGAGAAAGCACUUGGAAAAAGUGUCAAGCAAAAACUCCUUUUUAACAGGAAGAGACAUUUGGCAGAACCACGCUGAGGGAGGGGCAGCCAUCUGCCUUGGCUGAUUGGUGGGUGAGGGGAAAGAAAGGGCAUAAGUGUAGAAAGAAGAGCAAUGAAAGACCACAGAGAGCAAACAGGACAGAUAAACUACAGAAGAGAGAAGAUAAAGGUUGGCAAAGGCAAGCAAGUCUCUUGUCUUUGCCAAUCAAGGAUUAAACAUGUAUUUAACAUGAGGUUAUUUAUAUACAUAUAUAUAUAAUAUAUAAUAUAUAUAUGAUGUUGCAUUUUUUUUCUAGAAAUACCAGGGCCAGAAGACAUCAUGUCAUUUUUAGAUGUCAGCUAGGGAACUGGCUUAGUACCUCUCCUCUGUCUUUCUUUCUUUUUAUGGGGACAUUUUUGAUUGUAACAUCUGAAAGAAAAACCACAAUGAUCCCUUUGUUGGAGAUGAAAGUGUUUCCAGUGUUUUUAACUCUUAAUGAUGUCUCUGUGUUGUUUGCUUUUAGGAAGUGAAGAAGCAUUUGAACCAGAAAACGGUCUCUCUGAACCUAUUGUGGAGCUAACAUGGCUGCCAGCAAUAAGACAUGAUGACAUUAUCCUGCUUUCUUGCUGGAGGCCUCCCAGUAAGGAGUUCUUGUGAACACAUCUUCCGAGUGACAUGGAGACGGGCCUGCAGCCACCAGCGGAGCUGAGCCGAGCCGCUUUAGAGCCCUGCUGAGACCUGCCAGGCCCACAGCUUUCCCUGCCAGGGGCCUCGCUCGAAGUCAAAGUGAGUUACAACCCAUGCUCUUGACACACACAUGCUAAUGCAGAAGCAAGCACCCAGUAUGUAGGCAUGCAGGCGCACGCACAGGUGAAAUACAUAGAGGAAUAUAUGUGUGCAACCAUAAACCAGUACAGAGGCAAAGAAAUAACUCUGUUCGUGCAAAUAUAUGCACACUCAUACAUAAUGAUACCCCUCUAAAAGAGAUUGUAGCUCCACUGGACCACUAGAUAGACUACAUUUACAUACAUGCAAUCACACACAAUCAUAGAUUUGGUAUUUGCAGCCUAAAUAAAUGAUAUCCCUGCUUCUACCCAUGCAGUAAAGUGAGCAUGUCGUCCAACAGGGGCUCUAUCUGUCAGGGGUAGUUUGAGAUCAAGGUCCAGCAGCUGCUGGAUCAGCUGGAUUGAUCUGUCUGGGUAAACAUGAGGACUGAAAAUGAGCGUGUUUGUGAUUAAAGGCUUAACAGGAAGUGUGUGUGUGUGACAGUGAGAGAGAGAGGGAGCUUCAGUAUGCUGUUUAUACCCUGUACAAAAGAGAGCACUGUGUAUUACCUCCAUGCAUAUGUCAUAUACAUGUGUGUGUGUGUUAUAUUGUGCUUAUAUCCAGCUCCAUUUAAAAAAAAUGUUUGGAUACUGCUGGAGUCAAUUUAUAGCAACAUCAUCCUUAUCUUAUACUGGGCAUUACUGGUGCAGCCCCUUAGUUCAUCCUCCUUUCUUCUGAUUGGCUGCCCCUCGUUAAUAGAAGUCAGUGGGCGGGGGUUCUGUGCUCACAAGCCAGAGCUAUGUACCAUUAACUGGUAGCGACAGAUUGCUGCCCCUCACUGAGCCUGGUUCUGACAGGGGUUUCUUCCUGUUAAAUGGGAGUUUUUCCUUCCCACUGUUGCCAAAUGCUUGUUCAAAGGUUAAUGUUUGAAUAUUGGGAUUUUCUCUGUUUUCUGGCCUUUACUUUACAAUACAUCGUGCUUCGAGCCGACGAAUGUGAUAUGGCAAGUUAAUUUACGCAACUGAACUGAAUUAAGAAAACCUCUCAAGCCAUUGUAACACAUUUUUGACAGAAAAUCAGGAAACUCAUAUUGGCCCUGGUUAAUGUUUUUCAUCGUGACUCACCUAAAAAGAGACAGUCUUCCAGAAAAUGGUUACCAAAAGUAUUUUCCUAACCAUAAUCACGUAGUUUUGGUGCCUAAGCAUAACAAAACUGCAAGCGAAAUUAAAAAAACAACUUAAAGUUGUGACUCAAGUUGUGACUCAACCUUUUCUGAGUUGUCACCAGAUAUCCAAAAUUAUACUGCGAAUUAGUGGAGACAUCAACGCCCCCCCCUCCAAACAAAGCGAAAAACAUGGCACAAAUCAGAUAGGUGGAAUACUCAUGGCCAUUUUUUAGAUACUGAGCAAAUGGACGAGAAUUUACUUAAAAUGUGGUUGUAGCCACAUUAAUUAUCUUGCAAAGUGCCUUUAGAUACAGAAUAAAUGUGUCAGUCCCUCUGCUCAUUACAGCCAAGCCGUAUCUGAAAAGACCCUAUUAAGCUCUCACAUGAGGGCUGACCAACAGUUUCAUGCUGGCUAUAUAUGAAUGUAUCUCACAGCAAUAAUAUAUAGCGAGUGCAUGCGUAGCUAUAUGGUUUGUGUCUAAUCCCAGGAAUGUUGAUGUGGUCCAGAGUUUAAUAAAUGGAGGCGUGGGUGGGGAGUAAGAGUCCCCUGGAGCAGAGUUAAGGUCUUAAUGUACUAAAAAGCCUUGACCCAGACCAUAUACACCCACUCACAGGGACACAGCAUCUUCUCUCCAGUCCAGCACAUUCUUUCAUACUUUGGCUACGCAGCAAAGAAAUAUGCACUUGGACAUACACGGAGAUAUGCAAGCACAACAUGGACGAUAUGACCUUAAACAAUAAACAUGCGCAAAAUGUACCGAGUGGCUCAAACACACACACACACACACACACACACACACACACGAACACAUCCUUGUUGACUUGUGUUGGUCGUUAUUCAAUGAGGAGCACAUGACUUAAAUCGGGUGUGGUGCAUGACAUCUUAUCGAACAAAAGCGUCCCACAGAGAGAGCUGAUGGGGGAGACGAUCCCUCCCCGCUUGUCCUGUCUGUUGGGAGUCAUGAGGUCUCCAUCUCGUUUGCCACGCUGUGUCUCGUGGUUCAAAGUCCAUAAAAUGUUCAAGUUAAAAAAAAAAUCCCCUGCUUUUAAAACUUUCAGCUGCGGUGGUGUGUUGUCAAUAAAUCAGCUGCUUUCCCUGAGGAUAGCAACGUUAUCUCCGGGAGGGAGAGGAAGUGCAAAACACUGCAUGUUUUUCAAGAAUGAAGCCUUUGAAUUUCUUGUUGUGUCCUAUAAAUGUCUCACCUUGAGGGUCUGAUGUCUCGCAGUGAGAAUGGAGGGCUUGUAUUCUACACAUUCAACCCGUCGCUUCUACAUGCUUCUGCAGUCAUGCAGAAAUAAACUCAAGUAUGUUGAUCACAGAAGCUUUAUUGUGUUUUGUCUCAUUAACGAUCUCUUUUAAGUGUCUUGCUGAUAAACUUGUCAUUUAACUGUCAAAAUCAUGACGGCUACCUCCAUGUUAGAUCUUACAGGGAAUAUUUCUUCAUUUAAGAGAUAUGCCAGUUUCUCAAAUGCAUUGUAGCAUCGAACUUUUCUAACAUUAACCAGCGGAGCUGAAUAUUAGAAUGGAAAUAUCCAUAUCAGUUGGACCAGACAUUACCCAGGCAGCCUCCUUGUAGAAAGUAAAGUCCAAAUGAACACAUGUGUGAUUCACAGAGUGAGUUUCCAUCACGUCCUGCCUCCUGCGCAGUCUAUCCAGUCGCCACUCUUCGGCCAAACGUAAACUGCACAAUGCAUUUCAAGUGUCACUAUGCAUCUGUCACAUGUGAGAAAAGCCAACUGUACAAAGUGCAGACCUGAUUCUCUCAACAUUAUCUGGAAUUUAUGUGUAAAACUUGCUAUAGUCUCAUCAACCAAAGUUGCGCGUCACCAUAUAUUAGCUUCAGUGAUAAGAUUAUUUAUCACAACAAAUCUUUGCAACUGUUGCAACUGUUUUGGAGUCCAGUAAGGUUAAUACAGGGGAAAUACUGCGAGUUGCAUACAAAAGCAGGUUGUUCAAGUGCUUCUGUGAGUGUUAAAAUGGCUAAAAAAAAUCUGAAUUCCACAAUGACAAGAGAAGUGAAAAGAUGAUUCUCAAGCUUACUCCUGAACAUUCCCCUUCUCUUUCUAUCUAGCUGAAAAAAGCUUGAAAAGUGUGAGCAAACUGGUGAAAUCAAGCUGAGCAGAAAGGGGUAAACAGGACAUAUGUGUGCAUGUGUCUGUAUAAUCCCAUCACAAGAUAGUGUCGUUGAGAGCCAUUGCCCCGAGGCAGCUGGCCAUAGUCCGUCAAGGGAACUUUAAAUUAGAGUAAUGCUCACUAACACAAGGUUAGACAGUUCAUCUGCUGGAGAGAUAUGAAAAGGGGGGAUUGUCUGGUGCUGUGCUGAUGGCCCAGAGAAAAUAGAGUGAAGAAGUUUUGAAUCCCAGGCCUAUACGUGGACAUGGCUAAGUGUAGAUUGAAUUGAAGAACUGGAGGAUGAAUUGAGGCAGAUGCAGACAGCGUUGCAGAGACUGAGUCCUUUGAUAAUUGAUAAUGGCCUUGACAAAUGUAAGACAAUGUAAUAUUAAAAAAAGUGAAGUAAAAUAAAGUUUGUCAAAUGAUUUGUUUCUGGUUGUGUAAAAUGCUGAAUAAAG
Molecule: long non-coding RNA, 18570 nt
Organism: Oreochromis aureus
Lineage: Eukaryota; Metazoa; Chordata; Actinopteri; Cichliformes; Cichlidae
Source: Ensembl